GCACGGUCUGAGGCACGUUGG
RNAcentral lists this unclassified non-coding RNA (21 nucleotides) under Mus musculus (house mouse). Its description in RNAcentral is "oocyte_clustered_small_RNA13426". The record is from RNAcentral. Lineage: Eukaryota; Metazoa; Chordata; Mammalia; Rodentia; Muridae.